This 1178-nucleotide long non-coding RNA is filed under the name Struthio camelus australis. RNAcentral's name for it is "lncRNA (ENSSCUG00000018798.1)". The record is from RNAcentral. Lineage: Eukaryota; Metazoa; Chordata; Aves; Struthioniformes; Struthionidae.
UUGAUUUUCUUCUUCCCUUCUUUUGCUUUAGUCACUGGGUGUUUGGGCAGGCAAGUCUCAACGUGGAAAAGAUGCUGCAGAAGGCCAGGAGCAUCCCAGGAGUAGGGACAAAAGGCGACGAUGCCCCUGCGUCACCUGCAGCCCUGCCUGGCAAAGAAGGUGUCGGGGAGCAGUGAGGCAGAGGAGAGGGCAGAGGCGGGGACGAAGGCAAGCCCUGUGCCGUGACAGUGCCAUCCCACAGGGGCUGAGCCAGCACAGAGCCAGUGACUGAAACCUAUGCUGAUCCCAAAAUCAAGGCAACAUAUAUGGGAAUUGAAGAGCUUCAGUAAGAGACGCUGAGUCCUACCCCAGAAGGCCCAGCAGACCAAGAAUUGGAGCAUUUCUUUGAGGAAUAGAAGUUCUGGCUUCAAGUCUAUCAAGCAGACAGCAUCAUUGAGCCUAGGCUCUAUUACUGCAGGAGACUGGUGGCUGGGCAAGAACAGAGAACCUGUUGAACUGAGUGUGGUCAUGCUGCAGAGGGUGGAAAGGCUAAAGUUCAGAUUUGCAGACCCAAAACAUCAUGAUGGUUUCUGCACUUCUCAGCUGCUGAGUCACGUACUUCUUCACCUGUGAAGUUUGCAUCAUCUGUGGAAGUUGUAUAGCAGUGGUAAGCCAGUACUCGGCAUCUGAAAGGAUGUGGCAGGAAGCUGUGGCUGAAGACAUGUGGCUCCUAGAUAUGCCAUCCUGGUUCAUGGACUUUAAUAAGAAAUCUCAGACUAAUUAAGCUUUAAUACUGUACGUAAGGAAGGCUGACAGCUCUGCUGUAGCCUGACCCAUAUCUCAAUGUGCUUUUGUGCCUGCAAGAUUUUUUUUCUUCCUUCCCCUGCUGUAAUCCUCAUGGAACAUCUGCUUGAACCAGAAACAAAUGGCAGCUUGUUCUCUGGAUGCAGCGUCCUUGUCUGAACACUCUGGCCCUGAAAUCCUUCAGUGCUUUGUUCCUGUAGUGUUUUUUCCCCUCUAGCACCACAAGACUCGAUUAAUCCAAAUACUGAAAUCCCGCAGGCACUGGUUAUUUUUAGCAGCAUUAACACUAGAGCUCUGCAAAGGGUGGAUGAAGAUUUAUGUUUUUUGUUUAAUAUAAAUCUCACAGCCUUUCUCUUUUCUGCUAGAGCUUGGAUGGAUUCCAACAUCUCCCCCAC